RNAcentral lists this ribosomal RNA (537 nucleotides) under uncultured bacterium. RNAcentral's name for it is "bacterial SSU rRNA". It matches the Rfam family "Bacterial small subunit ribosomal RNA", at positions 102 to 674 of the family's 1533-position model. The record is from RNAcentral.
ACGGGUGAGUAACGCGUGGGAACGUGCCCUUCGGUUCGGGAUAACUCAGGGAAACUUGAGCUAAUACCGGAUACGCCCUUUGGGGGAAAGAUUUAUUGCCGAAGGAUCGGCCCGCGUCCGAUUAGCUAGUUGGUGAGGUAAAGGCUCACCAGGGCGACGAUCGGUAGCUGGUCUGAGAGGAUGAUCAGCCACACUGGGACUGAGACACGGCCCAGACUCCUACGGGAGGCAGCAGUGGGGAAUAUUGGACAAUGGGCGCAAGCCUGAUCCAGCCAUGCCGCGUGAGUGAUGAAGGCCCUAGGGUUGUAAAGCUCUUUCGCCAGGGACGAUAAUGACGGUACCUGGAUAAGAAGCCCCGGCUAACUUCGUGCCAGCAGCCGCGGUAAUACGAAGGGGGCUAGCGUUGUUCGGAAUCACUGGGCGUAAAGCGCACGUAGGCGGAUCUUUAAGUCAGGGGUGAAAUCCCGAGGCUCAACCUCGGAACUGCCUUUGAUACUGGAGGUCUCGAGUCCGGGAGAGGUGAGUGGAACUGCGAGU